Molecule: transfer RNA, 70 nt
Filed under: Gonatodes daudini
Lineage: Eukaryota; Metazoa; Chordata; Lepidosauria; Squamata; Sphaerodactylidae
Description: tRNA-Ala
Rfam family: tRNA
About the family: Transfer RNA (tRNA) molecules are approximately 80 nucleotides in length. Their secondary structure includes four short double-helical elements and three loops (D, anti-codon, and T loops).
Source: RNAcentral
GAGGCCUUAACUUAAUGAAAGUGUCUGAGUUGCAAUCAGGUGAUGUAGAUUAGAGUUUUACAGGUCUUCA